This 77-nucleotide transfer RNA is filed under the name Bacillus anthracis str. Sterne. Its description in RNAcentral is "tRNA-Gly". It matches the Rfam family "tRNA". From Rfam's summary of the family: Transfer RNA (tRNA) molecules are approximately 80 nucleotides in length. Their secondary structure includes four short double-helical elements and three loops (D, anti-codon, and T loops). Further hydrogen bonds mediate the characteristic L-shaped molecular structure. tRNAs have two regions of fundamental functional importance: the anti-codon, which is responsible for specific mRNA codon recognition, and the 3' end, to which the tRNAs corresponding amino acid is attached (by aminoacyl-tRNA synthetases). tRNAs cope with the degeneracy of the genetic code in two manners: having more than one tRNA (with a specific anti-codon) for a particular amino acid; and 'wobble' base-pairing, i.e. permitting non-standard base-pairing at the 3rd anti-codon position. RNAcentral also lists the same sequence under 3 other names. The record is from RNAcentral. Lineage: Bacteria; Bacillati; Bacillota; Bacilli; Caryophanales; Bacillaceae.
GCGGGUGUAGUUUAGUGGUAAAACAAGAGCCUUCCAAGCUCUGGUCGAGAGUUCGAUUCUCUUCACCCGCUCCAUGU